Ornithodoros turicata is the source of this 1435-nucleotide RNA transcript. It is a transcript of the gene named protein AAR2 homolog, with no coding region annotated. The transcript is spliced from 6 exons. The record is from RefSeq and is a predicted model, not a curated record. NCBI's taxonomy places the organism in Eukaryota, Metazoa, Arthropoda, Arachnida, Ixodida, Argasidae.
UCGACGUUUUUUCAACAUGGCGCCUGUCACGUCGCGUUUUGAAGUACAGCUGCUCCCAACUUUGCGAAAAUAGAAGAUCUUUACAUCAUUAUUUUAUACUUUCGAUGUAGCACACUAUCAACGAAUAAUGUCAGAGCAGGAUGAGUCGAUGGAUCCAGAAGUGGCGAAGAAGCUUUUGCGAGAGGGUGCCACGUUGGUUUUCCUCGACAUCCCGCCGGGAUCGGAGUUUGGCAUGGACAUGGUGCCUCACAACACGGGCGAGAAGUUCAAGGGGAUCAAGCUGAUUCCCCCUGGGUUGCACUUCGUGUUCUACAGCGCAGUGAGCAGUGCCGGAACGACAGCUCCGAGGACGGGAUUCUUCCAUUACUUUCAAGGUGGAGAGGUGCUCGUCAAAAAAUGGGACCGCAUUGCGGAAGAUAUACAGAAAGAAGAGGUGUCCCAGGAGGAAGUGGAGAAGUUCCGCAGUCAUCUCGAGGGGGACCUCGACAGAUUCCUCGGUGUUUAUGCCUAUCACGACUGGCGCAGGUGGAUUUCAUUGACGAAGCACAUCUCCGAAGACGUCCUGAAGCGACUCCAGCCCGAGAGCGGGAAGAUCUAUUCCGCGACUCCCUUCGAGCCCCUUCACUUUCUCUCGGAACGCAGCGGGCACAGGGAGGUGUCCGCGGGCGAUCCCGCGGGAAAGUCGGACCCUAUAGAGCUCAAGGAGGCGGCCGGCACCGCAGUACGCUACACGCCUUUUCCGAAGCACAAGUACCCCGACAACGCGAGCCCGGCAGAGAUCACUCAUCACAGCAUCGACUCGACGUACCUUCUCGACACGCUUCUGGCCGCCUGUCCGGAAGAGGGCGGACUGCUGGGCGAGCUACAGUUCGCUUUCGUCUGCUUCCUGGUCGGACACUCGUACUCCGGCUUCGAACAAUGGCAGAAGAUCAUCCGCGUCCUCUGCACCAGCGCCGACGCGGUUCCGAGACAGGUUGACCUGUACGAUUCCCUGCUCUCGGUGCUGUACUUCCAGCUGCGCGAAAUUCCGUCGGACUUCUUCGUGGACAUUGUGUCGAGGGAGAACUUUUUAACGGCGACGCUGUCGGAACUGUUCAGGAACAUUGCCGAGGCCGGAGCGGGGAACGCCGAUCCGGGGCUGGAGUCGUUGAAGAAGAAAGCGUUGAGGUUUAAGGGCAGCAUCGGCAAGCUGUUUGGAUGGAGCUUCGACGAAGAGCCGGACGACGAGCAGCCUGUCGUGGUGGAUCUUGCGGAGCAGAAUUGAUGCUUCUCACUGUGUCUAGUGGACUCAUUUCAUUAAUUUGCUCAGGAAUUUACUGAAUGUCAAACGAAGCAUUCUCACGAAUUUUGUGACAGCCAUUCGCCCAAAAAGGAGUAUUGCCUUUUUUUUUUGUUUUUUUUUUGUACCCAUCGUAUUAAAGUGGCAUGACUCGUU